RNAcentral lists this ribosomal RNA (253 nucleotides) under uncultured bacterium. RNAcentral's name for it is "partial 16S ribosomal RNA". It matches the Rfam family "Bacterial small subunit ribosomal RNA", at positions 524 to 776 of the family's 1533-position model. The record is from RNAcentral.
UACGUAGGGGGCAAGCGUUGUCCGGAAUCAUUGGGCGUAAAGCGCGUGUAGGCGGUCCGGUAAGUCGGCUGUGAAAGCCCCCGGCUCAACUGGGGAGGGUCACGCGAUACUGAUCGACUCGAAGGCAGGAGAGGGUAGUGGAAUUCCCGGUGUAGUGGUGAAAUGCGUAGAUAUCGGGAGGAACACCAGUGGCGAAGGCGACUACCUGGCCUGUUCUUGACGCUGAGGCGCGAAAGCUAGGGGAGCAAACGGG